This 840-nucleotide ribosomal RNA is filed under the name uncultured bacterium. RNAcentral describes it as "bacterial SSU rRNA". It matches the Rfam family "Bacterial small subunit ribosomal RNA", at positions 17 to 860 of the family's 1533-position model. The record is from RNAcentral.
UCUUGGUUCAGGGAUAAACGCUGGCGGCGGGCAUUAACCCAUGCAAGUUGAACCGAUGAAACCUUACUGAUUUUUUUCGGAAUGAAUUUAAGCGGAUUAGUGGCGGACGGGUGAGUAACGCGUGAGUACCCUGCCUUGGAGAAGGGGAUAGCCUUUUGAAAACGAAGAAUAAUACCCUAUGAUAUGAUAACAUCGCAUGAUAUUAUCAUCAAAGAUUUAUCGCUCUAAGAUGGACUUGCGUCUGAUUAGUUAGUUGGUGAGGUAACAGCUCACCAAGGCAACGAUCAGUAGCCGGCUUGAGAGAGUGUACGGCCACAUUGGGACUGAGACACGGCCCAGACUCCUACGGGAGGCAGCAGUGGGGAAUUUUGCACAAUGGGGGAAACCCUGAUGCAGCGACGCCGCGUGAUUUAGAAGGCCUUCGGGUUGUAAAAAUCUUUUGUAUGGGAAGAAAAUGACAGUACCAUACGAAUAAGGACCGGCUAAUUACGUGCCAGCAGCCGCGGUAAUACGUAAGGUCCGAGCGUUGUCCGGAAUCAUUGGGCGUAAAGGGUACGUAGGCGGGUAAGCAAGUUAGAAGUGAAAUCCUAUAGCUCAACUAUAGUAAGCUUUUAAAACUGCUUAUCUUGAGAUAUGGAAGGGAAAGUGGAAUUCCUAGUGUAGCGGUGAAAUGCGCAGAUAUUAGGAGGAAUACCGGUGGCGAAGGCGACUUUCUGGCCAUAAUCUGACGCUGAGGUACGAAAGCGUGGGUAGCAAACAGGAUUAGAUACCCUGGUAGUCCACGCCGUAAACGAUGAGUGUUAGGUGUCUGGAAUAAUCUGGGUGCCGCAGCUAACGCAU